ACGUAGGGUCCAAGCGUUAAUCGGAAUUACUGGGCGUAAAGCGUGCGCAGGCGGUUGUGCAAGAACGAUGGGAAAUACCCGGGCUUAAACUGGGAAUUGCAUUGGUGACUGCACGGCUAGAGUGUGUCAGAGGGGGGUAGAAUUCCACGUGUAGCACUGAAAUGCUUAGAGAUGUGGAGGAAUACCGAUGGCGAAGGCAGCCCCCUGGUAUAACACUGACUCUCAUGCACGAAAGCGUGUGGAUCAAACAU
This 251-nucleotide ribosomal RNA is filed under the name uncultured prokaryote. RNAcentral's name for it is "partial 16S rRNA". It matches the Rfam family "Bacterial small subunit ribosomal RNA", at positions 525 to 775 of the family's 1533-position model. The record is from RNAcentral.